This 360-nucleotide RNase P RNA is filed under the name Haloarcula onubensis. Its description in RNAcentral is "RNase P RNA component". It matches the Rfam family "Archaeal RNase P". Rfam says of the family: Ribonuclease P (RNase P) is a ubiquitous endoribonuclease, found in archaea, bacteria and eukarya as well as chloroplasts and mitochondria. Its best characterised activity is the generation of mature 5'-ends of tRNAs by cleaving the 5'-leader elements of precursor-tRNAs. Lineage: Archaea; Methanobacteriati; Methanobacteriota; Halobacteria; Halobacteriales; Haloarculaceae. The record is from RNAcentral.
GGCAGCGGGAGGCCGGCCCCCGUGGCGAGAGCCAUGAGGAAAGUCCCCCCACCAGUCGGACAGGUGACCGGGCACAAGCCCGGGGCGGGAGACCGUCGGCUAUGGAACAGCAACGACACGUCGUCGCGGGACCGAUGAGGUGCGCGAAUCCCGAGCGCAAGCGAGGGAGAGUUAACCCACCGAGGGCCCGUCGUGGGCUGUCUUCGACACCCCACGCGCCCCGCGACGGACCGAUGGAACGGCGAAUCCUCACCGGUGCAAGACCGCGUCGACAGGUAGUCCGACGCCGCGCGCGAGCGCUGGACGCGGCCGCUCAGCCGAAUGCCGGCCCGAACAGAAGGGGGCUUACUCCCCGCAGCC